CGGAAGCCGCGAGGCAGAGCAAAUACUCAAAAAGACCGUCCCAGUUCGGAUUGCAGGCUGCAACCCGCCUGCAUGAAGUUGGAAUCGCUAGUAAUCGCGGAUCAGCAUGCCGCGGUGAAUACGUUCCCGGGCCUUGUACACACCGCCCGUCACACCAUGGGAGUCAGUAACGCCCGAAGUCAGUGACCGAACCUGAGAGGGAAGGAGCUGCCGAAGGCGGGACGGAUAACUGGGGUGAAGUCGUAACAAGGUAGC
Molecule: ribosomal RNA, 255 nt
Filed under: uncultured bacterium
Lineage: Bacteria
Description: partial 16S ribosomal RNA
Rfam family: Bacterial small subunit ribosomal RNA
Source: RNAcentral